UGGGGAAUAUUGGACAAUGGGCGCAAGCCUGAUCCAGCCAUGCCGCGUGAGUGAUGAAGGCCCUAGGGUUGUAAAGCUCUUUCACCGGUGAAGAUAAUGACGGUAACCGGAGAAGAAGCCCCGGCUAACUUCGUGCCAGCAGCCGCGGUAAUACGAAGGGGGCUAGCGUUGUUCGGAUUUACUGGGCGUAAAGCGCACGUAGGCGGACUAUUAAGUCAGGGGUGAAAUCCCGGGGCUCAACCCCGGAACUGCCUUUGAUACUGGUAGUCUUGAGUUCGAGAGAGGUGAGUGGAAUUCCGAGUGUAGAGGUGAAAUUCGUAGAUAUUCGAAGGAACACCAGUGGCGAAGGCGGCUCACUGGCUCGAUACUGACGCUGAGGUGCGAAAGCGUGGGGAGCAAACAGG
RNAcentral lists this ribosomal RNA (404 nucleotides) under Actinomycetes bacterium. RNAcentral's name for it is "Actinobacteria bacterium partial 16S ribosomal RNA". It matches the Rfam family "Bacterial small subunit ribosomal RNA", at positions 355 to 776 of the family's 1533-position model. Lineage: Bacteria; Bacillati; Actinomycetota; Actinomycetes. The record is from RNAcentral.